Molecule: unclassified non-coding RNA, 699 nt
Filed under: Hevea brasiliensis (rubber tree)
Lineage: Eukaryota; Viridiplantae; Streptophyta; Magnoliopsida; Malpighiales; Euphorbiaceae
Source: RNAcentral
GAACAAGUAUUACAAUUCUUGCAAUGUUUUUGCAGAAAAAUCUGGGUUGAUACAUCCUGAAGCCACAUCAUUUUCAUCAUAAGAAUGUAAAAAAUUUCUCUCGAUUUUCAAUCAUCCACCUCUAAGGGUAGUGAAAACCUUGGAGUUCAGAAAAGCUAAAAUGCACAUGCAUGAAGACUAAUCAAGUCUGAAAUCCGAUUCACACACACAGUGAAACUAAAGAAGCAGCUCCCAACUGAUCAUCAGUUGUUACUUGUGGCAUCAUAAAGGAUAAGAAGCAAAAUGGCUGCGCUCAAAUCAGAAUUUAUGUUAUUAGCACUUUCCUUUGAGUCGCAGAGAAAAUGCAUGUAAGCUUUUAAGAACUUCCUUUAUUCCCUCCUUUGCUUGUGGAUCAAUCAAGUUGCCAUCGCUAUCAAAUUUUGCAGGAGGUGCAAAUGCGUUCAAGAAAAACUCAGGUUUGUUGAUGAAAUGAAGAUCAAGAUAAACUCCAAUUUGGCGAAGAUGGUACUGUGAUCGCCCUCCACCAAAACUUCCUCCAGCACUUACAAUGGCAGCAGCUUUAUCAGCCCAGCAAUUUGGUGGUCUGGAUGCCCAGUCAAUUGCAUUCUUCAAAGGUGCAGUUACAGAGUAAUUAUACUCAGGGGAAGCGAAAAGGACGCUAUCGGCUUCAAGAAUCUUUUCGCGGAAAGCUUCAACGAC